AUGCCCAAUACAGCACCCCAUGGGAGCUGCACACGCAUGAGACAUGGAGCCAUGCACCACAAAGAGCCACAGCACCGAUAUGUGCUGCUUAUACUGUCUUUGAUGUGCAGGGAGAGGCAGAUUGGUUCUGACUGCAGAACAGGGAGAGGUAACGUGUCUUCUACAGGCCUUAUCUGCCCGUGCCCGAUACUGCCGCAGCAUAACUUUGAAGAGGAGCCAAUUAAAAAUGAUUCAGGUAGGCCCAAAUUUCAUUAGGUCUGCGUCUCCACCACAUUAUGGGCGCCAUCUAAAGUGAGUGUAAACAUUGUUCCAGUGAAAACCCAGAGUUCACCAACACUUUAGCCAGCCGUGUCCCAAGUUUUCCCUGUGCCGUGCAUGAACUUUGGACCUCAUAAUUCACAGAUUCCAACACAGCUUCAGCUACAAAAAUAACACGGCAUUAACAUAAACACUCUGGCUCUUUCAGUAUAGAGGUCAGGUAGACAGAGAGAGUUGUUGCUGUUUUACAGUUAUAACACAUAUCAAUUACAUAUAAUCAAUUACAUAUCUACAACAUCCAGAAGACUUAGACUGAUGUUUAUUCACAAAGCUAGCCCUUGUCUACUGGAAAUCAAAUUGUGAUUGGUUGAAUCCUCUGUCACUUCAUGAUUUAUGCUUUCGGUAAUUCUAACAUAUUAGCUCUUCUCUCCCAUUCUUGAAGUCCUAACCAAUAGGAGGGAUCGCUUAACUACAUCUAGCAAAACACCACAGAGAAAACAAUUCCUGUCUGGCCAGUUUUCCACCGAGCAUUUCAAAGUUUUAACCCUUUUAUUUUCACCCAAACCUUACAAUAGAGUCUGGCUGCAGACAUGCACUCUCAAACAGAUGCACUCCCAGUAAUGUCAUGUGCACAUGCACUCUCUGUCACAACAGCAGGAGCAGCCCAAUCGCACAUUAACUUUUGACUGCUUCUGCUAAGAGAUAUCAUCACUUAAUCCAUUUUCGGUCCAUAACACAAUGAGGAAACUCUAUUUAAUGUCCCUCCCUUUUUGUUGCAUCUGUUGGGCCCUUGUGGUUUUCAGCAGUAAUGCUAUUCUGUGUUUUCCUGAUGGGUUGACACUGCAGUGUAAAUGAUCCUGAUUGUUUAAUCAGGUGCUUUGGGACUGAGUGCAGACACAUUGGAUCAUUUCAUUUCCUAAUAGCCUCUAAUGGCAACCAUCAAGUCAAUUCUCAUCAUCUCAUCAGGAGGCAGAAUCAUCAGGUUUUAUGCUUGGUUAAAGAGAAGCUACUGCUUGUGGAUAUGAAGUGAAUGAAUUGGCCACAGUUUACAGCUUUUUGAGGGCCUUUAAAAUUGGGUC
Molecule: long non-coding RNA, 1337 nt
Organism: Pygocentrus nattereri (red-bellied piranha)
Lineage: Eukaryota; Metazoa; Chordata; Actinopteri; Characiformes; Serrasalmidae
Source: Ensembl